CUGGCUUGUUUUCCCUAAAGAAUGUAUACUACACAGAUGUAAACUCAAGAAAUUCAAGACUUCAUGGUCUCCAUUCCAGAGUGGAAUACAUUCUUGUUUGUGAUGUAAGAAGCUAAAGGCUAUAUUUCUUCUGGAGCUCUUAAAGGCCAUUUGCAGAAGAGUUCCAAAACAAAACCUUAUGAAAAAUAUGAAGGAUAAUGAGACAGAUAAGGCUACUGAGAGAGAGAAGAGAGCUGGUGCUGAAGCUUGUUGCAAUGAAAGGGAAGGGACUGUUCCAGUUAAUUGAGACUACAGAGGUCAAACCAUAACACUCUCCUUUGUGGAGUGCCACAGAGUCCUACUCUAUUAUCCCCCUACUUGACAUCUACAUAUGAAGACCUUGGGAGAUGUUAUCUUUCACAUGGAGUUAUGUAUCAUCAGUAUGCUAACUGUAUAUCUCAGGCCUAAACUGAACAGGAGAUACAGAGAAGUUGCUACCUCAGUGUCUGGAGACUAGUAUGCACAUGCCUGGUGAUACAUGGAAUGAAGACACUGAAGGAUUUGAGCCAUCACUUUAAAGUUGAUACUGGGCUUUAUUUUUCC
This is a long non-coding RNA of Crotalus tigris (Tiger rattlesnake), 582 nucleotides long. RefSeq lists it as uncharacterized. The transcript has 4 exons. The record is from RefSeq and is a predicted model, not a curated record. NCBI's taxonomy places the organism in Eukaryota, Metazoa, Chordata, Lepidosauria, Squamata, Viperidae.